CUUGAGCUUGAGCUCCUGUUGCUCUUAUAGAAUGUUCACUCAAAAGUAUUGUGGAGCUCCUGCACCUAAAUAUAAACAGUACCAACACCCAAAAUGAGGACCGGAACCUAUUUCAGUCCAAGUUAAGCACUGAUAACAAGUAAUCAGAGCAUCUACAGAUGGACAAUACGGACUAUCCAAAUAAAGUGUGAGCCAAAAUAUUUCCCUUUGUCACACCACAUCCUGAGUCAAAGUCCUCAUCGUCCUUCCAAAUUACUGUCAAGGUAAUAGUAUCUGAGUUAAGUGUGGUGAAGGAGCUGACUGGGG
This 306-nucleotide long non-coding RNA is filed under the name Salmo salar (Atlantic salmon). RNAcentral describes it as "lncRNA (ENSSSAG00000107818.1)". Lineage: Eukaryota; Metazoa; Chordata; Actinopteri; Salmoniformes; Salmonidae. The record is from RNAcentral.